GACGACGAGGCCAAGGAGAGGCCUCUGAUUCUUCGUAACAAGGCUCCCAGGUGGCACGAACAGUUGCAGUGUUGGUGCCUAAAUUUCCGGGGGCGUGUGACUGUGGCCUCAGUCAAAAACUUCCAGCUCAUUGCUGCGAUACAACCAUCUGCAGGGGUUCCAACUCCAUCACAGUCAGUGCCACCAGAGCAUGACAAGGUCAUACUACAAUUUGGAAAGGUUGCAAAGGACAUGUUUACCAUGGAUUACCGGUACCCAUUGUCAGCCUUCCAGGCCUUUGCCAUCUGCUUGAGUAGCUUUGACACCAAAUUGGCUUGUGAAUAGAGAAUGGCUUGGAAGAAGAACCAAUAUCUGGUACCAGAUUCGGGGGCAAAAAUCUGCUCUUAA
RNAcentral lists this long non-coding RNA (387 nucleotides) under Musa acuminata (dwarf banana). Its description in RNAcentral is "long non-coding RNA (MACU_LNC005059)". The record is from RNAcentral. Lineage: Eukaryota; Viridiplantae; Streptophyta; Magnoliopsida; Zingiberales; Musaceae.